UCUACUAGCUUAACACCUAAUUUUACUUUUUCUUGCAAAGUAAGUUUAACUUAACCUUAGGUUCUCCAUCAUAUUAAGCUCCUAAUUCUAAAGCUACUUGGAGUCACAAGUUCAGUAAAUUUAUCUUCGGAAACAGCUGUUUUAUGCUCAUUCUAAAACCUAAUCGACUAGCUUAUGUUAAAGCAACUACAAAUCGAGUACAAAAACAAGCAAUUAGGUUUUAAGAAAAAAAAAUCAAGUGUGAAAUCGACUGUCGGUAAAUUCAAUUGAAGAGGCCAAAGCGCGUUUCACCACGCCGUUUUUGAGAAUCGUCCGGUAUUAGUAAAUUAACGAAUAAAGAAUUAGAAGCAAGGUUUAAAAUACAAAGAGGAAACGCAGAAUUUCAGAUCUGGUGAAGAGGAAGCAUACAGCGAGAGCGAGGUAGAAAACGAGCUUGAAGGAGAACUUGCGAAGCUCCUUGAAUAGAAGGUAGCAGAGUACAAUGAAGCUGGAACCGGCCAACGACAGGCUCGACGCUCCGGAGUUCACUGCCGUCAGAAUCUGGCGAUCGUGCGCAGUGAGAGUAGCGCCGAGUGCGACGGAGGCCGCCAUUACACGGAACCAGUUCGCUAUCGCCGAUCAGUAGUCACUCUCUUGAUUCUCAACUUCUAACUUACUGCGAAAGGAAGAGAGAAAGGAGAGAGCCGAACGGUUUUGAAAUUUAUUUUUUUUUCUGGAAAAAGAAAAUAACAGUAGUAUGAUUGUUGAUUUAUGUUUAAUUAUUGAUUUUAAUUUGCAUGUAAAUGGUUAAUGUGAGGAAAUAUUGUGAAUUAAUUAAAGAUGUGAUAAACUUAUUAUAAAAAUUAUUAACUGUUGAGUUUAAUUUUACUUCUGGUUUUUCAAAAUUAAUUUUAUGAAUUUUUUCAAAAGUGUGAAUUUAGUCAUUUGCACCAACUUAUUUUAAACUUUACUUUUUUAAGUUAUUUUUAAAAAUUAGGAUAAACACUUCAUUUAGAACCAUCAUGAUUAUUUUGUUUUUAGUAAAAAAAACUACAAUAUUAGUACAGCAAUUUCAGUGUUGUUAAUUUUAUUUGAAUUUUAAAUCCUAUUAAUAAUUAAGAUAAUUGAACAUAUCUUAGUCUAUAAUAAUUGUCACUUAUAUUUAUUUAAAAAACUAAUUUUAGUAUACAAUUAAUUAUCCGUGAAAUUUUUUACAUACUUUUUGUUUCAUAAAUUUAAAAUCUUUAAUGAUUUUUCAAGAUUAAUUAUAUACUAAUGUUAAUUUUCACUUUAAUAAAAAAAAACAUUACAAUUAGUAAUAACAACAAUCAUCUACCACCACAUAAAAAAGUAUUAUUGAAGAAAAAAAAAAUACAAGUAAAUAUAAACUCAUAUAUUAACAAAAUUGAUACAUAUAUAGCUUAUACUUAUUCAUAAAUAUCUUUAAUAAAAGACUUGAUGGAUGGAAACCUAUUAUAUCAAUAAAAUUGAUCUUUAAGAAAAAAUCUCAAGUUAGCAAGCUUAUAAGCACAAACAUUUCCUUUACGAAAAAAUAUGUGAAAAUUGAAAUCUAAUUUUGUCAUAGUAAUUAAGACAAGUGUUUCACAUAUUACGAAGCAUCCAAUAAACAUUAGUUCCAAAAGUAAAUGCAACACAAACCAACCAAGAUAGAAUCACAUUCAAAUCCUAAAACUUAAGUCAUAAAUUAGUAAGACUUAUCUUUUGAGUUUCUUCAAUAGCAUGUAUAAACCACCAAUAAAUUCCUUCAUACUCUCACGAAAAAUACUUCCACAAACAGCAAGACCAAGAGAACUCCUAACAGCCAUCAGUGUUAAUUUUAACCCAACUUUUCUAAGAUAAAAAUGUAAUAAAAGAUUAGCAAAGUGUAAUUUUCUUAUUUAUUCAAAUGUAAAUUAUGUAUACAUGUGUGAUAAUUCUUUUAAUUGCGUCAUAUUUUCUUCAUGUGCUGGAAUAUUUUAUGAACAAAAAGGAGAAAGAACAUGGUGUCAUUAUUUUUUUAAAGUUUGGGUGCUACAAUGCUUAGCAUUAAUUCAUAUCCAUUACAGUUUUGUUAUUCAUUCCAUCGUUAAGGUACAAGGAAUCAUACAUAAAAGACAAGUUUUUUUUUAUUGAAAUAUAAAAUUAAAAAUUAUUUAUAUUUUUUAAAUAUUAAAAUUGAAUUAAGAUUAUGAUUUCUUUUGAUAGAUAUUAUUUGUGCUUAUUUUAUUCGGAUCUUAUAUCAAAUAGUUAUAUGCUUCAGUUUCUCUUCAGACCCUUGUGAGAUAUUCUUUGAUUCCAUGUGGCCUGCACCACGUACUUUCAAUUGAAAGUAACUCAGAUAUUGUUUUUUAAUUUUCGUUUAAAUAUACAUUUUAGUCUAAUCUUUUAAUUUUUUUAUUAAUCGUGAUCAAUUUUAACUUUUUUAAAAGUGAUUCCUAUUUUUUUUUCAAUAACAAUAUCAUAUGUAUUCCAAAACGUCACGUCACGGUUCUUAUCUAAAUAACAAUUCUAGAUGUAUACACGUCACAUUUUCAUUGUGGUGAUGAAGACUAUUUUGAAGAUUUAAAAUAGAAAACUAAGAGAAAUAUUUUAGAAAAUUAAAACUGAAUAUUUAUAAUUAACAAAUUACCCUUUUUUACGAAUUUUCCAAUGUAAAAAAGUUGUUGAUAAUAUGAUCGUAGAAAAUAAUUUCCAUCAAUUUUUUUUAUUAAAACUCGUGGGAAAACUUUCACAGAAUUACUUCUAUAAUUUCUCAUAAAAAAAAUCUACAGAAAAUUGUAACUUUUUUGUUCUGUUAUAAUUUCAUAAUUUCAGUACUCAAAAUUGCUGAACAAAAUAAUUUUUGUUUUGAUGUAAUUAAAAUAAUUAAAAAAUUAAAAACAAAACAUACAAUAAUCAUGUGUUAAAUUUUUUUAACGCAAUAUCCAUCAAGUUCAAUCACAAAACCAAAUAAUACAAUGUCAAAUAGUUUUGAGAUAGUCAAUUUGAAGCAUUUCAACAAGUGUUCAAAAGUAAAAAAAAAAUGUUGUUGAAGAAGGGUCUGAUAUAUUUUAUUACCCAUGAACAAGAUAUAGAAAAAAAAACUAUGUUUGUAAUAUAAAAUUAUUUUUAAUGAUAUAUUGGGUCAUGUGGUUAACCAUUUAUCCAUUGACCUGGUAUUUUGACCAGAUAUUGAUUGAUCCGGUUUGAUAACACUUAUUUAUACUGGAUGAUUGAGACUUAUUUGGAGUUGAGAUUUAUUACUUUCACCAAAUCUACUUCUUAAAACAUAUUUUUGAUAAAAUUAUUUGCCAAAUUAUGUCGUAAUUGGAUAUUCUAUGACCUAAAACAAUAAGUGUAUGAAAUCCAUUUUUUGUUCAUUUUCUCUAAACUAUAACUUAACAUCCAAAACCAUGUCCAAACACAAUCCCAACCAUAUUUGUCACAUACAUUACAUGUGAAUAAAUUUUAGUGUGUAUCCUGAACUAGUAUCAAGUGCUUAUACUUGUCCAUUGUCGUGUAUAUCAUCAAACCAUAGAAAACUCAAUUAUCACUUCGAAUAGCUUGUGUUCAAUGUGAUUGCCCUUAUUUCACCCUAACCAUCAUUUUGCUGCAACUCUGUAUUUCUGGCCACAGUCAGAUGUGAUAGAACUACCUGCCACCCUUUUCAUGAUGACCAAGCCAUGCCGUCUUGUAAAAUAAAAUAACACACCUUUUUUUUUUCUUUUUACCCUUUUCUAUAUGAUAUGUAUAUUUUAUCUACUUUGCUGAGGAGCGUUAUCUGCUGCUAUAUUUUAUGUUUGUUACCAUUUUCACUUACGGCAACAUACACAAAUGGUCCAAUGAAAACAUCAUCGAAGUCCUGAAGUGGCUCCAACACCUUCACCACAUCACUCAUAGUUGGCCUUGCAUUUGGGUGAGGACUCAAGCAUUUAAAAGCCAACAUAGCAACUUUCAUGGCUCCUUUCAUGGGAAAUUGCCCUUCUAGUCUACAAUCUAUGAUGCUAUAAACUAUUUUCGGAUCUCUCAGUAAAGGCCUUGCCCAUUCCACUAAGCUCUUGCCACCAUUCGACCGAGACUUAUCCACCACUCGUCUUCCCGUAAGCAAUUCCAACAGCACCACUCCAUAGCUAUACACAUCACUCUUGGUUGUAAGAUGACCUGUGACAAGGCAAUGAGUUAUUACUUCAUCAAAUAUAAGUUUUUGUCAUUCUGGACAUAAGAAAAUAUAGCUUGUUUAGUUUAACAUUGUGAUGUUGUGAAUUUCUACGUUUAAUACUUAUAACUUUCACGUUUUCGGGCUCAAUUGAAAGUGACAACAUCAAGGGAAUUUUAGUUUCUAGUAAUAUGAAAGGCCUAAAUUCAAUUUACACUACAAAAAUUCUUAUUGAGGCUUGUAACAUGGUUUUAGGAGUAAGGAAUGAAAUAGCCUCCUUUGCCCCUUUACUUUUUGGAUGUCAAUUGAUGCUAGAAACUUGGUUAACUUUUGUAUGGUAGUGCAUAUACCUGUCAUUAUGUACUCAGGAGCAGCAUAUCCUUGUGUUCCCAUUAUGCGUGUUGUUACAUAUGUAUCUUCCCCUUCAGGGCCAUCCUUGGCUAGACCAAAGUCUGAGAGUUUAGCUGUGAAAUCCUAGAUUUAGAGGAAAAAAACGUUAAAAGAGUGUAAGUUAAUUUCUUGAUAUGGAAAUUAAGAAGAUCAUGCAAUUAAGAGAUGCAGUAUGAGAUCACAGAACAUACUGAGUCCAGUAAAAUGUUUGAAGCUUUUAAAUCGCGGUAUAUUACAGGCUUAUCUGCUUCAUGAAGGAAGGCCAGACCUUUGGCAGCUCCUAAUGCAAUUUUCAUCCUGGUUGACCAUGGCAUAGCAGCAGAGUAUCCUAUUUGUAUUAGAGCAAAAGAAGCUGUUAUUAAGGCUUGGUUUAUGUAAGAAUCCAAUUUUGUGUAUCAGUAAGAGGGAUUUUCUAUUUGUCAUCAGUAUCCAAAGAAAACACAUAGAUUUGAAACAAUUAGGUGUGCAUGACCUUACAGAACAGAACAUCUAAAAUUCUAAAUCAUUUGAUGAUAAUUAUUGAGCUUGAUCUUGCAAUCAUGUUUGACUUAUGAGAUACUUCUGAUAUAACCAGAAAUGCACAAAAACAAAAAGAUGAGAAUAAGCGAGAAAAGAAACAUACUUCUGAAGAGUUGAUUCUCCAAGCUGCCUCUUGGCAUGUAUUCAUACAUCAAAAGCCUGUUUUCAUCUUCAUAACAGUACCCUAUUAACUUUACAAGAUGUGGAUGCCUUAGUUGUCCAAGAAAUAUAAUCUCUGCCUAGAAAAGAAAUUGUGAUCAAAACAACAGUUUAUUCAGAUACUAGCUCAUAUGAGUAUUUGUUCACGAGUGCAGUAUUUUUGUUGUCAAGGAAACAAAUAUGUCGGCAUCUAAAAUUGACGUGACAACCAAAAAAUGGGGUAGUCAUGAAAAGUUAAAAAUGGCAUUUGAGAAAGCUAACUAACCAGCCACUCCCUGUGACCUUGCAAGCCAUCCAAGUCCAACCUUUUCACAGCAACAGUCUGAGCUUUCAAACCUGGCCUAAGUUUGUCAUCCACAAAACCCUUGUACACAGGUCCAAACCCUCCUUCUCCUAGCAUAUUACUCCAUGAGAAACUGCUCGUUGCUUCCCUUAGCUCCUCAAGUGUGAAUGCAUAAAGUUUGGAGCCACCAAAGGAAAUUGAAAGAUCCUCAAUGGCCUGAGUGGAGCUUGAAUUGCUCACAUCAGAUAGACACAGCCUCUGGAAAGACCCUUGUUUCAAAACCUGUUUCUCUGAUUCCUCCAAGGAGCACUUAACCUUGUAACAACUUAAGAUCAAGAUCACAGACUUCCAUGUGUUCCUUUUAGUACCCAUCUAGGAAAUUGGUCUAUAUGUGAAACUGCAACAACCCUGUUGUGUAACUUUCUUUCACAAGCUACUUCUGAUUCUAAAAAUAUGAGGAAGACGACAUAAAAUUUGGAAUAAUUGAUGAUGCUAGGAAAAAAAUAAGUGAAAGUUGAGGAAGUUUAUAAGUACAACUUCACCUACCACCUCAGAAGAAAAAUUGUGGGAGAUUCCUUGACUUCUAGAACUCAUGAAUGUGGAUGCUAGAACAAUAUUACACGAUAUACAUGAAGGAUUUCUAUUUUAUUUUAGGUCAAUCAACAUGCCUACCUAUUAUUGACUUCAAUGUUACACUAAUAUAUUUUUCAUAAACACUUAUAAAAAAUAAGGAACAAAUAUAUCUAUAAAUUAAAAUUUGUAAAGCUAAUUUAAUUUUAUGAAAAAAGUGAAAUUUAAUUUGUUUCUCCAAAUUACGGAACGACUCCAUCAAACAUGAGUGCCGUCCACAUAUUUUUGUGUUUGGCAAGUGAUGUACAUUCGCCGAGAAGAUCGGAAAAAUGAAGGGAUGUAACAAAAUUCCAUUAGUGCCAAACCAAAAAUUCCAUUCUAAUUUGUAGUUGCACACAUCAAAAGGUUUUUUUAAUCGUUCAUUUGGUUGUGUUGAGGACACGUGAAUUAUUAUAACAAAAAUAAAAGUGCUAUGUGGAUUUUGAGAGUAUUUUAUGGUUUAAUUUGAUAUGUUCCUAUAUUUGGUAGGUAAGUUUCUCUACGUUGUUGUUGUUGUAGUUAGAAUGUCAUGAUCAUACAAUAGCGACCCGACAAUGAAACUCUUCUUUUAAAUUCUUUAUAUGAUCAUCAAGGGCAGCUUCUAGAACCUACAACUUAAGGGUUUCCUCUAAGACUGAGUGUUUUUUUGAGAAGUUUAUCCAAACAGUGUCAUAUCUCUACUAGCUUAACUUUUACUUUUUCUUGCAAAGUAAGUUUAACUUAAACUUAGGUUCUCCAUCAUAUUAAGCUCCUAAUUCUAAAGCUACUUGAAGUCACAAGUUCAGUAAAUUUAUCUUCGGAAACAGUUAUUUUAAGCUCAUUCCUUCUAAAACCUAAUCGACUAAUCACGCCUUUGAAAAGAAGCAACUAAAAAUCGAGUACAAAAACAAGCAAUUAGGUUUUAAGAAAAAAAAUCAGGGGCGAAAUCGAGUAUCGGUAAAUUCAAUUGAAGAGGCCAAAGCGCGCUUCACCACGCCGUUUUUGCGAAUCGUCCGGUAUUAGUAUACUCACGAAUAAAGAAUUAGAAGCAAGGUUUAAAAUACAGAGAGGAAACGCAGGACUUUAGAUCUGGUGAAGAGGAAGCAUACAGAGAGAGCAAGGUAGAAAACGAGUUUGAAGGAGAACUUGCGAAGCUCCUUGAAUAGAAGGUAGCAGAGUACAAUGAAGCUGGAACCGGCCAACGAAAGGCUCGACGCUCCGGCGUUCACCGCCGUCAGAAUCCGGCAAUCGUGCGCAGUGAGAGUUCUGCCGUGUGCGACGG
Molecule: long non-coding RNA, 7335 nt
Filed under: Phaseolus vulgaris (common bean)
Lineage: Eukaryota; Viridiplantae; Streptophyta; Magnoliopsida; Fabales; Fabaceae
Description: long non-coding RNA (PVUL_LNC004834)
Source: RNAcentral